Molecule: long non-coding RNA, 941 nt
Organism: Gasterosteus aculeatus aculeatus (three-spined stickleback)
Lineage: Eukaryota; Metazoa; Chordata; Actinopteri; Perciformes; Gasterosteidae
Source: Ensembl
CCAGAUUGUCCGCCAGGCCGUCCUCCAGAUCGUCCUCCAGAUCGUCCUCCAGGCCGUCCUCCAGAUCGUCCUCCAGGCCGUCCUCCAGAUUGUCCGCCAGGCCGUCCUCCAGAUCGUCCUCCAGAUCGUCCUCCAGGCCGUCCUCCAGACCGCCCUCCAGAUCGUCCUCCAGAUCGUCCUCCAGGCCGUCCUCCAGACCCUCCUCCAGAUCGUCCUCCAGAUCGUCCUCCAGGCCGUCCUCCAGACCCUCCUCCAGGCCGUCCUCCAGAUCGUCCUCCAGAGAACUCCCGGUCACUCGACUGUGGUCCCCCGGACUGUCCUCUCCCUCCCACCCCAUAUUGUGUUUAGGUUAUUUCUCUGUAUGGCCCAACCACCCACCUUUGUGUUGAAUCAUUGACUCUUCUGUGUUGUGUUCCUAAAUAAAGUUUAUUUUGUUCGUAAAGUCUGCGAUUGGGUCCUACUUCUGCCAUCAACUGUGAUAGAGAAUGAUGCAGCUUGUGUACUAACAAGAACUAAGAAAAGGGAUCAUAUUACUCCUGUUUUAGCAUCUCUGCACUGGCUCCCUGUUAAAUCAAUAAUAGAAUUUAAGGUACUUCUCCCCAACUAAAAGGCACUUGCUGGUCAAGUGCCCUCUCAUCUUUAGGAGCUUAUAGUAACAUGCUGCGCUAAAUGCUGGGUUACUUGUGGUUCUAAUAGUUUUAAAUAGUAGGAUGGGAGCCAGAGCCUUCAGUUAUCAAGCUCCUCGUUUGUGGAACAGUUUACACUCUCAGUCCAGGGGACAGACGCAGUCACCUCAUUUAAGACUAAUCUGAAGACUUUGCUCCUAAUCUAGUUAGGCCUGGCUCAGGUAAGCCUGAGCCCACUCAGAUGUGGGAGGAACUAUGAGAGCAUAUUAUUAAUCACAUUUAAGAGAGAAAGUAGAGAAGUGAGAGCGGUGUGAG